UACUAGCGGUCCAAGUCGCAGCCAUUUUUAUUGGGUCUAAAACAUCCGUAGCUUGUUUGGUAAGUUUCCUGUGAAAUUUUAUCUCUUAAAGGUAAAGCGUGCAGGAAGUACUGCCAGGCUAGAGACUGGAAGACGUAGGAAGUACGUUCAAAGUAGUGGUAAAAUACUUUAAUCUAGAACGGACUUACAAUAGCGAAGGCAUCCUACGAGGACAGUUCUGACAGUAAGGGAUGAAGGCUAGGGGCGCAAAACGGAUUAGAUACCCCCGUA
Molecule: ribosomal RNA, 270 nt
Filed under: uncultured prokaryote
Description: partial 16S ribosomal RNA
Rfam family: Archaeal small subunit ribosomal RNA
Source: RNAcentral